CCUACGGGUGGCAGCAGUAGGGAAUAUUGCUCAAUGGGGGAAACCCUGAUGCAGCCACGCCGCGUGGAGGAUGAAGGCCUUAGGGUUGUAAACUCCUUUUGUUCGAGAGGAAUGUGAUGGUGUUUAUCGACUAAGCACUGGCUAAUACCGUGCCAGCAGCCGCGGUAAUACGGAGGGUGCGCGCGUUCGUCGGAAUGGAUGGUGGAAAAGGGUGCGGAGGUGGGGUAAUAUAUCAGAUGUGAAAUCCCGGGGCUUAACCACAGAAUUGCAUUUGAAACUGGUACUCUGGAGUGUGGGAGAGGUAGGUAGAAUUCGUGGUGUAGCGGUGAAAUGCGUAGAGAUGUAGAGGAAUACUGAUGGCGAAGGCGGCCUCCUGGAACAAGACUGACGCUGAGGCGCGAAAGCGUGGGGAGCAAACAGGAUUAGAUACCCUAGUAGUC
RNAcentral lists this ribosomal RNA (440 nucleotides) under uncultured bacterium. RNAcentral describes it as "partial 16S ribosomal RNA". It matches the Rfam family "Bacterial small subunit ribosomal RNA", at positions 338 to 795 of the family's 1533-position model. The record is from RNAcentral.